GAGGAUAUAGCUCAGUGGUAGAGCACUUGCCUAACAUGCACGAGGUCCUGGGUUCAAUCCCCAGUACCUCCU
RNAcentral lists this transfer RNA (72 nucleotides) under Camelus bactrianus (Bactrian camel). It matches the Rfam family "tRNA". Rfam says of the family: Transfer RNA (tRNA) molecules are approximately 80 nucleotides in length. Their secondary structure includes four short double-helical elements and three loops (D, anti-codon, and T loops). Further hydrogen bonds mediate the characteristic L-shaped molecular structure. tRNAs have two regions of fundamental functional importance: the anti-codon, which is responsible for specific mRNA codon recognition, and the 3' end, to which the tRNAs corresponding amino acid is attached (by aminoacyl-tRNA synthetases). tRNAs cope with the degeneracy of the genetic code in two manners: having more than one tRNA (with a specific anti-codon) for a particular amino acid; and 'wobble' base-pairing, i.e. permitting non-standard base-pairing at the 3rd anti-codon position. RNAcentral also lists the same sequence under 2 other names. The record is from Rfam by way of RNAcentral. Lineage: Eukaryota; Metazoa; Chordata; Mammalia; Artiodactyla; Camelidae.